GGGACGAACGCUGGCGGCGUGCUUAACACAUGCAAGUCGAGCGAGGCCCUUCCUUCGGGAAGGUGCCCUAGCGGCGAACGGGUGAGUAACACGUGAGUAACCUGCCCCUAGCUCCGGGAUAGCUCCGGGAAACCGGAAUUAAUACCGGAUGUGAUCACGGCCGACAUCGGCCACGAUGGAAAGAUUUAUCGGCUAGGGAUGGGCUCGCGGCCUAUCAGCUUGUUGGUGAGGUAACGGCUCACCAAGGCGACGACGGGUA
This 259-nucleotide ribosomal RNA is filed under the name uncultured bacterium. RNAcentral's name for it is "partial small subunit ribosomal RNA". It matches the Rfam family "Bacterial small subunit ribosomal RNA", at positions 27 to 285 of the family's 1533-position model. The record is from RNAcentral.